This 496-nucleotide ribosomal RNA is filed under the name uncultured bacterium. RNAcentral's name for it is "partial 16S ribosomal RNA". It matches the Rfam family "Bacterial small subunit ribosomal RNA", at positions 28 to 506 of the family's 1533-position model. The record is from RNAcentral.
GAUGAACGCUGGCGGCGUGCCUAAUACAUGCAAGUCGAGCGAACAGACGAGGAGCUUGCUCCUCUGACGUUAGCGGCGGACGGGUGAGUAACACGUGGAUAACCUACCUAUAAGACUGGGAUAACUUCGGGAAACCGGAGCUAAUACCGGAUAAUAUAUUGAACCGCAUGGUUCAAUAGUGAAAGACGGUUUUGCUGUCACUUAUAGAUGGAUCCGCGCCGCAUUAGCUAGUUGGUAAGGUAACGGCUUACCAAGGCAACGAUGCGUAGCCGACCUGAGAGGGUGACCGGCCACACCGGAACUGGGACACGUUCCAGACUCCUACGGGAGGCAGCAGUAGGGAAUCUUCCGCAAUGGGCGAAAGCUUGACGGAGCAACGCCGCGGGAGUGAUGAAGGUCUUCGAAUCGUAAAACUCUGUUAUUAGGGAAGAACAAAUGGGUAAGUAACUAUGCACGUCUUGACGGUACCUAAUCAGAAAGCCACGGCUAACUACGU